RNAcentral lists this ribosomal RNA (520 nucleotides) under uncultured Scutellospora. Its description in RNAcentral is "SSU rRNA". It matches the Rfam family "Eukaryotic small subunit ribosomal RNA", at positions 569 to 1100 of the family's 1831-position model. Lineage: Eukaryota; Fungi; Glomeromycota; Glomeromycetes; Diversisporales; Gigasporaceae. The record is from RNAcentral.
AGCAGCCGCGGUAAUUCCAGCUCCAAUAGCGUAUAUUAAAGUUGUUGCAGUUAAAAAGCUCGUAGUUGAAUUUCGGAGUUCUAUCGUUGGUCGGGCUAUUGUCUGUACUGGCGUGUAGAAUUUCUACCUUCUGGGGAACUAUCAUGUUAUUAAUUUAGCGUGGUAGGAAAUCAGGACCUUUACGUUGAAAAAUUAGAGUGUUCAAAGCAGGCUUAUGUCUGAAUACAUUAGCAUGGAAUAAUAAAAUAGGACAGUGGUCCUGUUUUGUUGGUUCUGAAUCACCGUAAUGAUUAAUAGGGAUAGUUGGGCAUUAGUAUUCAAUUGUCAGAGGUGAAACUCUUGGAUUUAUUGAAGACUAACUACUGCGAAAGCAUUUGCCAAGGAUGUUUCAUUAAUCAAGAACGAAAGUUAGGGAUCGAAGACAAUCAGGUACCGUCGUAGUCUUAACCAUAAACUAUGCCGACUAGGGAUUGAACGAUGUUAACUUUUCUUGACUUGUUCGGCGCCUUAUGGGAAACCA